This 357-nucleotide ribosomal RNA is filed under the name Trochulus hispidus complex sp. 159 LK-2014. RNAcentral's name for it is "partial 16S ribosomal RNA". Lineage: Eukaryota; Metazoa; Mollusca; Gastropoda; Stylommatophora; Hygromiidae. The record is from RNAcentral.
AAAGGUAGCAUAAUCAAUUGGCUUAUAAUUGAAGUCUAGUAUGAAUGGGAAUCCGGGGAAUAGCUAUCUAAGUUAAGAUAACAUAAAUUACUUAAUGAGUGAAAAGUCUCAUAAACAGAAGAAAGACGAGAAGACCCUAGAAAUUUUAUUAUUAAAUUCUAUAUAUUAUUUUGUUGGGGCGACAUAGUAACAAAUAACUUACUAUACUAUACAAGCUACUAAUUGAGUUGCGAGAUUAAAUUACUCUAGGGAUAACAGCAUUAUUCAAUAUGAGUUUAUGACCUCGAUGUUGGACUAGGAAAUAAUUUUUUUAGAAGAUAAAUUAUCUGAGCUCUGUUCGAGCACUACCUCCUACAU